GACGAACGCUGGCGGCGUGCUUAACACAUGCAAGUCGAACGGAAAGGCCCUGCUUUUGUGGGGUGCUCGAGUGGCGAACGGGUGAGUAACACGUGAGUAACCUGCCCUUGACUUUGGGAUAACUUCAGGAAACUGGGGCUAAUACCGGAUAGGAGCUCCUGCUGCAUGGUGGGGGUUGGAAAGUUUCGGCGGUUGGGGAUGGACUCGCGGCUUAUCAGCUUGUUGGGGGGGUAGUGGCUUACCAAGGCUUUGACGGGUAGCCGGCCUGAGAGGGUGACCGGCCACAUUGGGACUGCGAUACGGCCCAGACGCCUACGGGAGGCAGCAGGGGGGAAUAUUGCACAAUGGGCGGAAGCCUGAUGCAGCAACGCCGCGUGUGGGAUGACGGCCUUCGGGUUGUAAACCGCUUUCGCCUGUGACGAAGCGUGAGUGACGGUAAUGGGUAAAGAAGCACCGGCUAACUACGUG
This 468-nucleotide ribosomal RNA is filed under the name uncultured bacterium. Its description in RNAcentral is "partial 16S ribosomal RNA". It matches the Rfam family "Bacterial small subunit ribosomal RNA", at positions 28 to 507 of the family's 1533-position model. The record is from RNAcentral.